UACGGAGGGCGCAAGCGUUGUUCGGAAUCACUGGGCGUAAAGCGCGUGUAGGCGGUUCAGCGAGUCGGCUGUGAAAGCCCGAGGCUCAACCUCGGGACUGCAGCCGAAACUGCCGGGCUCGAGUCCCGGAGAGGGUGGCGGAAUUUCCGGUGUAGAGGUGAAAUUCGUAGAUAUCGGAAGGAACACCAGAGGCGAAGGCGGCCACCUGGACGGUGACUGACGCUGAGACGCGAAAGCGUGGGGAGCAAACAGG
This 253-nucleotide ribosomal RNA is filed under the name uncultured bacterium. RNAcentral describes it as "partial 16S ribosomal RNA". It matches the Rfam family "Bacterial small subunit ribosomal RNA", at positions 524 to 776 of the family's 1533-position model. The record is from RNAcentral.